Molecule: ribosomal RNA, 253 nt
Filed under: uncultured bacterium
Lineage: Bacteria
Description: partial 16S ribosomal RNA
Rfam family: Bacterial small subunit ribosomal RNA
Source: RNAcentral
GAUAAUGGCUCAGGACGAACGCUGGCGGCGUGCCUAACACAUGCAAGUCGAACGGGGCUAGGAAAGCUUGCUUUCCGAAGCCUAGUGGCGGACGGGUGAGUAACGCGUGAGUAACCUGCCUUUCAGAGGGGAAUAACGUUCUGAAAAGAACGCUAAUACCGCAUAACGUACAGUUACCGCAUGGUAGCAGUACCAAAGGAGCAAUCCGCUGAAAGAUGGACUCGCGUCCGAUUAGCUAGUUGGUGGGUAAAGG